RNAcentral lists this ribosomal RNA (233 nucleotides) under uncultured bacterium. RNAcentral describes it as "partial 16S ribosomal RNA". It matches the Rfam family "Bacterial small subunit ribosomal RNA", at positions 100 to 334 of the family's 1533-position model. The record is from RNAcentral.
CGGGACGGGUGAGUAAUGUCUGGGAAACUGCCUGAUGGAGGGGGGAGAACACUGGAAACGGUAGCUAAUACCGCAUAACGUCGCAAGACCAAAGAGGGGGACCUUCGGGCCUCUUGCCAUCGGAUGUGCCCAGAUGGGAUUAGCUAGUAGGUGGGGUAACGGCUCACCUAGGCGACGAUCCCUAGCUGGUCUGAGAGGAUGACCAGCCACACUGGAACUGAGACACGGUCCAG